Eriocheir sinensis (Chinese mitten crab) is the source of this 650-nucleotide long non-coding RNA. RefSeq lists it as uncharacterized. NCBI's taxonomy places the organism in Eukaryota, Metazoa, Arthropoda, Malacostraca, Decapoda, Varunidae. The record is from RefSeq and is a predicted model, not a curated record. The transcript has 2 exons.
AAUGAGCUAGCAGAUGGGUGUGACAGGAAGUAUUGGCCAUUGGUUAUGUAGAAAAUUAAGGGCGUGUCAAGGAUGUAAGUCCGCCUAAAGCAAAGAAAAAUGUGGCCUAGAGAUCAGUGGUAUGAGUAGACCGAGCUUGGUUCUCGCCUCAAGCAGACCUGCUACUCACUCAGCCGAGAAUGGCUGUUGUGAUCUUAAUCGUGAGUAGAAAUUCGAGAAUCUAAGGGAAACCGACUGUAUUGUCCUGGAGAUUAUAAUGUAGGAGAUGUGAAGUAGGAUUGUGAGUGGGACAGGAUUGUGAUUAUUUGUUUGCGAUGUAAAGCAAAGGUAAAACCACUGGGUGUGGUAAAAUUGGGUGUUUCCAUGACUUGUAGUAGAUUAUACUACAGGAAUGUGUUAUUAGGAUUUUGUGAAGAGAGUACAUAAUGAUUGUGAUGUAAGCAGAGAGAUACAAACCACUGCUUGUGGAACGACGAGUGUUAUUAUUAUUGGCAACAACUGAGCACAUAUUGUAGUAUUAUGUUUAAGACAUGUCGUUUGUCAUAUGUUGCAUCCAUUGCUGAAUAUGCCAGUGUUAUGAUCGUCUGAGCAUAGAAUAUUGCGUAAGGCAAUUACUUUCAUUUAAUUUUAAAUAAAUGUAUAUUUACUUU